RNAcentral lists this unclassified non-coding RNA (579 nucleotides) under Priapulus caudatus. RNAcentral's name for it is "cysteine-rich and transmembrane domain-containing protein 1-like, transcript variant X1". The record is from RNAcentral. Lineage: Eukaryota; Metazoa; Priapulida; Priapulimorpha; Priapulimorphida; Priapulidae.
UCUGGGUCUCUGGAAUUGCCAGGUUGUUGUUCAGCCACCAUUAACUACAACAACUACCACAGUUGUGCAUAAACAAGGGGUCAACCACUGUCUCCACUGCUGCAUUAGCAUCUUCUGUUUCCCGUGGAUCAUUGUUUGGAUCUGUCUGUGCAUGGCCGAAGAUAACGAGACGACCCAGCGAUCUAUAGUGGUACAUCAGUAAUGCUUCUCAGAUACUCUAGGACCAACAUAACGCUAGACUGCAUGCUUUAAAAUAUAUUAAAUUUUAUAAUAAAAAAAAUUAGCACAUUAUUUUAUGAUUAUAAAUUGAUGACUUAUUAGUUCUCAUGGUGUGUGAACUAGAUUGUAUUGAAUUUUAUCAUGACACAUUUAAUUAAGUUUUAAAUGCAAGAAAAUGUUACUUUUACUGUGUAUAAAAGAUUGGGAAUCAUGGAUGAUAAAAGCACUAAUAUAUACUUGUUAUACUUAUAUCUAUUCAUACAAAAUGUAUUCCAGAACACGAACAAGUUUUCUAAGAUAUGUUAGUAAUUCCAAUUAUUUUGUCCAAAUUAAAAAUUAGGCCAUAAAAAUUAUGUAAAA